This 271-nucleotide ribosomal RNA is filed under the name uncultured Rhodocyclaceae bacterium. RNAcentral's name for it is "partial 16S ribosomal RNA". It matches the Rfam family "Bacterial small subunit ribosomal RNA", at positions 1110 to 1382 of the family's 1533-position model. The record is from RNAcentral. Lineage: Bacteria; Pseudomonadati; Pseudomonadota; Betaproteobacteria; Rhodocyclales; Rhodocyclaceae.
AUUAGUUGCCAUCAUUUGGUUGGGCACUCUAAUGAGACUGCCGGUGACAAACCGGAGGAAGGUGGGGAUGACGUCAAGUCCUCAUGGCCCUUAUGGGUAGGGCUUCACACGUCAUACAAUGGUCGGUACAGAGGGUUGCCAACCCGCGAGGGGGAGCUAAUCCCACAAAGCCGAUCGUAGUCCGGAUCGCAGUCUGCAACUCGACUGCGUGAAGUCGGAAUCGCUAGUAAUCGUGGAUCAGCAUGUCACGGUGAAUACGUUCCCGGGUCUU